AUGAGCUGGCAAAUUUCUGUUACAACUCGGUUAACCAACUGGCUGCAAGUUGGAAACCUGUUGGCACUUUUAUGCAGACUGUUAAACUGUUUUUUUGUGUUUUUGAAUAUGGCAGGGCUAAAGUGUGGAAGAAGUAUUACUAAUGAUAUUGCCUUGUGGAAGUUUGAACCAGCCAAGGAUUGUAUAUGUGGAAGAUUCUCUGAAAGUUUAACCACUUCACCCAAAGAUCCCAUCUUAAGUCCCCUUAAAUGCAUGAAGUCAGUUAAAGUACGACCAUCCAUCGGAGAAAGUUCAAGUGAUGCAAAAUCUGUAACCAGCUUUGGCAAGGCAACUUCAUCAUAA
Molecule: non-coding RNA, 342 nt
Organism: Vicia faba (fava bean)
Lineage: Eukaryota; Viridiplantae; Streptophyta; Magnoliopsida; Fabales; Fabaceae
Source: the annotation of a GenBank genome assembly